UAAUGUAUGGGGAUCUGCCCGAUAGAGGGGGACAACUACUGGAAACGGUGGCUAAUACCGCAUAAUGUCUACGGACCAAAGCAGGGGCUCUUCGGACCUUGCACUAUCGGAUGAACCCAUAUGGGAUUAGCUAGUAGGUGGGGUAAAGGCUCACCUAGGCGACGAUCUCUAGCUGGUCUGAGAGGAUGAUCAGCCACACUGGGACUGAGACACGGCCCAG
RNAcentral lists this ribosomal RNA (220 nucleotides) under uncultured bacterium. Its description in RNAcentral is "partial 16S ribosomal RNA". It matches the Rfam family "Bacterial small subunit ribosomal RNA", at positions 111 to 334 of the family's 1533-position model. The record is from RNAcentral.